This is a long non-coding RNA of Hypanus sabinus (Atlantic stingray), 1721 nucleotides long. RefSeq lists it as uncharacterized. The transcript is spliced from 4 exons. Lineage: Eukaryota; Metazoa; Chordata; Chondrichthyes; Myliobatiformes; Dasyatidae. The record is from RefSeq and is a predicted model, not a curated record.
UAGACAGCAGUAGAUAAACUGUCACCAGAGAUACAGACAGAGAGACUGAGAAAGGGGAGGGAGGUGUUGGAAAUGGAUCAGGUAAAUUUGAGGGCAGGGUGGAAGUUGGAGACAAAAUAGAUGAAGUUGAGUGGCCACCCAUUUUAAUUCCACUUCCCAUUCCCAUUUUGACAUGUCAGUCCAUGGCCUCCUCUGCUGUCAUGAUGAAGCCAUUCUCAGGUUGGAGGAGCAACACCUUAUAUUCCAUAUGGGUAGCCUCCAAACUAAUGGCAUAAACAUCAAUUUCUUGAACUUCCGGUAAUGUUCCCCACCCCCCCCCCCCUUCACCAUUCCCUAAUCCUGUUUCCCUCUCUCACCUUAUCUCCUCAACAGCCCAUCACCUCCCUCUGGCACUCCUCCCCCUUUUCUUUAUUCCAUGGCAUUCUGUCCUCUCCAGCUCUUUAUCUUUUCCUAGCUCUUCACUUAACCCCUCCUGGUUUCACCUAUCACCUCCUUCUUAAUCUGACUCCUCACUUUAUUUACUUCAGUCCUGAUGAAGGGUCUCAGUCUAAAACAUCAACUGCACUCUUUUUCAUAGAUGCUGCCUGGCCUGAUGAGUCCUUCCAGCAUUGUGUGUGUGUUGAUCAGAAUUACUUUAUUGAUUGUGGUUAAGUACCAAGCAUAAAAUACAGGACAAUACUAGAACAGACAACACAAUAGCAACCAACAAUUUACAAGACAAUAGUGCAAACAGUCAUUAGCAAUCAACAAUUAGCACAAACAUCAAUAAUCAAACAAAAAUAAAUAUGAACAUAUGAACAGACUACAUAAUAAUUACAUAUGUAGAACAAAGAGAGCAGGAAAGACCAUUUAAUGGAUGCUGUGCAUGGGAUAUUUAAGGUAUUACACCUGAGUGAGUUUGUUGAGAAUAGGUGAAUAGGUGACUGCUAGGGUGGGUGGAGUUAGCAGUAAUUUCUUCAGCUCUCUUCUUCGCCCUGGUGAUGAACAGGUCCUUUCACGUCAGGUACUUACAUCCAAUGAUCUUUGCUGGUGAGUGGACCACUCACUGCAACCUGGGCUUGGAGAGGGAGGAGGAGGCGGCGAGAAACCAAAUGUUGAUAGAGGUGGUAACAACACUCUCAAUGAUGGGAGGAGAUCUGGUGGAGGUGUGCAAUUGAGGAUGGCAGCGAGAAAUCCAAGCAAAACAAGAAGUGAGCAGAACUGAGACUGAGUGCAUUCAAACCUACACACAGAAAGGCAACUGUGACUGUUCAAAGUAAGGGAACAUGAUACAAAGACUAUGGGGCAUUCGCUUCCAUCAUUCAUAACAUGUGAUGUGACAGCACCUAUACCAUAACACGAGGCCUCACAGGGAACCUUCACUGGACAAUGUGGAUCAGAAUGUCAUUAAGCCCUUGAAGUCUUUGACUUCCACGUAAGAAGGCAGAUCAAGCUUUGGUUUGCCAUUUCACCGGAAGUCUGCACAUCUAAGAGAAUGUCUCCCUCAAUACAGCACUGCAGUAUCAGUCUGGAUUUGUGUACUCAACAAUGGGCUUGGGACCUGAAUCCACCCUCAUGAACUCAGAGGCGACAGUCACGUUAAUUCACCCUUGUCUGUUAGCAACUGUCCAGUUUGUAUCUCAGACUGGAUCUGAAUGAAUGCAUUUUAAUGUUACUCUCCCACGUUGCUAAAUGCACUCCAAGGAAAAUAUCUAAAGACUGUUACACUCCUGUUAUCUUGA